This 328-nucleotide ribosomal RNA is filed under the name uncultured eukaryote. RNAcentral describes it as "partial 18S ribosomal RNA". It matches the Rfam family "Eukaryotic small subunit ribosomal RNA", at positions 1470 to 1796 of the family's 1831-position model. The record is from RNAcentral.
CCCUUAGAUGUUCUGGGCUGCACGCGCGCUACACUGAUACCUUCAGCGAGUCCACCACCUUGCCUGGGAGGGUGGGGUAACCUCUGGAAAGUGCAUCGUGAUGGGGAUCGAUUAUUGUAAUUAUUAAUCUUCAACGAGGAAUUCCUAGUAAGCAUGUGUCAUCAGCCCGCGCUGAUUACGUCCCUGCCCUUUGUACACACCGCCCGUCGCUCCUACCGAUUGAGUGGUCCGGUGAGGCUUUGGGAUCUGAGCGGAAAGAGCGUUUCGCUGUUUCUGCUCGGAAAACUCAGUCGAACCUUAUCAUUUAGAGGAAGGAGAAGUCGUAACA